CCAGACUCCUACGGGAGGCAGCAGUGGGGAAUAUUGCACAAUGGGGGAAGCCCUGAUGCAGCAACGCCGCGUGGGUGAAGGAGCGUUUCGGCGCGUAAAGCCCUGUCAGCGGGGAAGAAGAAAGACGGUACCCGACCAAGAAGCCCCGGCUAACUACGUGCCAGCAGCCGCGGUAAUACGUAGGGGGCGAGCGUUAUCCGGAUUCACUGGGUGUAAAGGGAGCGUAGACGGCCAUGCAAGCCAGGGGUGAAAGCCCGGGGCCCAACCCCGGGACUGCCCUUGGAACUGCAUGGCUGGAGUGCGGGAGGGGCAGGCGGAAUUCCUGGUGUAGCGGUGGAAUGCGUAGAUAUCAGGAAGAACACCAGUGGCGAAGGCGGAUGACUGGACGGCAACUGACGGUGAGGCGCGAAAGCGUGGGGAGCAAACAGGAUUAGAUACCCCGGUACAC
RNAcentral lists this ribosomal RNA (448 nucleotides) under uncultured bacterium. RNAcentral describes it as "bacterial SSU rRNA". It matches the Rfam family "Bacterial small subunit ribosomal RNA", at positions 331 to 795 of the family's 1533-position model. The record is from RNAcentral.